RNAcentral lists this ribosomal RNA (1393 nucleotides) under Maribacter lutimaris. Its description in RNAcentral is "partial 16S ribosomal RNA". The record is from RNAcentral. Lineage: Bacteria; Pseudomonadati; Bacteroidota; Flavobacteriia; Flavobacteriales; Flavobacteriaceae.
GGCCGCUCCUUGCGGUGACGGACUUCAGGCACUCCCGGCUUCCAUGGCUUGACGGGCGGUGUGUACAAGGCCCGGGAACGUAUUCACCGGAUCAUGGCUGAUAUCCGAUUACUAGCGAUUCCAGCUUCACGGGGUCGAGUUGCAGACCCCGAUCCGAACUGUGACAGGUUUUAUAGAUUCGCUCCGCCUUGCGACGUGGCUGCUCUCUGUACCUGCCAUUGUAGCACGUGUGUGGCCCAGGACGUAAGGGCCGUGAUGAUUUGACGUCAUCCCCACCUUCCUCACGGUUUGCACCGGCAGUCCCGCUAGAGUCCCCAUCAUGACAUGCUGGCAACUAACGGUAGGGGUUGCGCUCGUUAUAGGACUUAACCUGACACCUCACGGCACGAGCUGACGACAACCAUGCAGCACCUUGCAAAUUGCCCGAAGGAAAAGGUGUCUCCACCCCUGUCAAAAUGCAUUUAAGCCCUGGUAAGGUUCCUCGCGUAUCAUCGAAUUAAACCACAUGCUCCACCGCUUGUGCGGGCCCCCGUCAAUUCCUUUGAGUUUCAUUCUUGCGAACGUACUCCCCAGGUGGGAUACUUAUCACUUUCGCUUGGCCGCCCAGGUCUCAAGGACCCGGACAGCUAGUAUCCAUCGUUUACGGCGUGGACUACCAGGGUAUCUAAUCCUGUUCGCUCCCCACGCUUUCGUCCAUCAGCGUCAGUAUAUGGUUAGUCACCUGCCUUCGCAAUCGGUGUUCUAUGUAAUAUCUAUGCAUUUCACCGCUACACUACAUAUUCCGGCAACUUCACCAUAACUCAAGACCAGCAGUAUCAAAGGCAAUUCUAUAGUUGAGCUACAGACUUUCACCCCUGACUUACCGGCCCGCCUACGGACCCUUUAAACCCAAUAAUUCCGGAUAACGCUCGGACCCUCCGUAUUACCGCGGCUGCUGGCACGGAGUUAGCCGGUCCUUAUUCUUACGGUACCGUCAACAGGGCACACGUGCCCCUUUUUCUUCCCGUAUAAAAGCAGUUUACUACCCAUAGGGCAUUCUUCCUGCACGCGGCAUGGCUGGAUCAGAGUCUCCUCCAUUGUCCAAUAUUCCUCACUGCUGCCUCCCGUAGGAGUCUGGUCCGUGUCUCAGUACCAGUGUGGGGGAUCCCCCUCUCAGGGCCCCUACCCAUCGUAGCCUUGGUAAGCCGUUACCUUACCAACUAGCUAAUGGGACGCAUGGCCAUCUUCUACCGCCCGAAGGCUUUAACCACAAAAUGAUGCCAUAAUGUGGUGCCACGGGGCAUUAAUCCAAGUUUCCCUGGGCUAUUCCCCUGUAGAAGGUAGGUUCCAUACGCGGUGCGCACCCGUGCGCCGGUCGUCGGCGGAGCAAGCUCCCCGUUACCCCUCGACUGCA